CUGAAGCUCUGCAGCGGCGGCUUCGAACGCGGCAGCGACACGUUGACCUUCUGAUGUCAGCGGAGUAUCUGGGAGACGAAUCACAGGAGGUCAGGUUGUGUGUCCGCUGCGACAGAAACACACACACAGGACACCAUGGCUCCCAGCAGCAGCAGCAGCACCGGCUUCUUCAUGACGGAUAAGCGGACAGUUUGACAAACCGGACCCAGGACGUUCUUCACGAGAAGGUGUUGUACAACAAACAAGGAACCAUGACAUUAGGCUGAUUGAUCCGCAAAACCAUUUUGAACAACACCAUUCAGAUCACACAUUAAAACACUUCCACGUGGAUCUAGACUGCCUAAUAGGAAACACAGUCAUACCUUAGAAGCUUAAGCUCCAGGUGAACCUCCCAACAAGCUACGCCCUGCCUCCCUUUCUCCAUGCAGUCAAUAACCUGCUUGUCAGACCAGCCUGCUCAGUGUUUAUUGUUUGCUGUCCAUUUUGUCCCCCACACCCCAACCAGUUUGCCAACCAAAGCUUUUUUCCCAUUACAGAGAGAGUUUUUUGUUGUUUUCCUGUCACCGAGCUUCCAGUCAAAGGUGACUGACUUGUUCCUUUUAAUGCAAAUUGGCCCUCCUUUCCCUCUCCCCUUUUUUUUUAACUGGAAUUGACGUCAACUGGCUGGUGUUAAGUUUUGUUUAAGUACAAAGACAUGCGAUGGCGUAGAUUAGAAUGCCAUCCAAAUGUACGCUUGUUUUGUAACUGAGUUUAAAAAGUAAAACCAAUGUAUUCAACAGAGUCACAGCACUUCCUGAGUGAUAUUUUGAAGAUUUGUUUUACAAUCGACC
Fundulus heteroclitus (mummichog) is the source of this 830-nucleotide long non-coding RNA. RefSeq lists it as uncharacterized. The record is from RefSeq and is a predicted model, not a curated record. Lineage: Eukaryota; Metazoa; Chordata; Actinopteri; Cyprinodontiformes; Fundulidae. The transcript is spliced from 4 exons.